GAAGGGGGCAAGCGUUGUUCGGAAUUACUGGGCGUAAAGGGAGCGUAGGCGGAUUGUUAAGUCAGUUGUGAAAGUUUGCGGCUCAACCGUAAANAUGCAGUUGAUACUGGCAGUCUUGAGUGCAGUAGAGGUGGGCGGAAUUCGUGGUGCAGCGGUGAAAUGCUUAGAUAUCACGAAGAACUCCGAUUGCGAAGGCAGCUCACUGGAA
Molecule: ribosomal RNA, 208 nt
Filed under: uncultured bacterium
Lineage: Bacteria
Description: partial 16S ribosomal RNA
Rfam family: Bacterial small subunit ribosomal RNA
Source: RNAcentral